RNAcentral lists this long non-coding RNA (10938 nucleotides) under Octopus vulgaris (common octopus). Lineage: Eukaryota; Metazoa; Mollusca; Cephalopoda; Octopoda; Octopodidae. The record is from RNAcentral.
CUACUAUCAAACUGCUUUAUAUUUAGUGUAGUGUUUCAAACUAUUUUAGUAUUUACGAAGAAAACUAGGCUAUAAACAGAGGCGUUUUAUCACUGUGUGGUGCCAGCAAGUACCUGAUGAACAGUCGACCACACCCACUCUACUGUUCUGUUUUUUAACCGCUUAACUUUCUUUGUAAGUAUAUCGUGGUUGAUUUUAUUAUUUAACUCCAGCUCAUUUCUGAUCCCGUUGACCUGUAAGCAGAUAUUCGUGCUUGUCUUUCGCUACCCCAUCCUUCUGUUGGAUAAUAUUUCCUCUGUCUCUUUACGUUCUGAGUUUAAAUAUCGCCUUCAUAUCAACUUUCCUUUUCAUCCUUUCGAGUUAGAAAGAGUCGUAAUAUAUUGGAGUCGGCAUAACUAGAUAUGUGUACCCCUUCCCACGACUUUGUUGCCUUAUAACUUCCAGAAAAAUGAAUCCUUUUUCAUGAAAAUUUCAACAAAUACCACUUAGGUGCCGUGGAUUCAGAGUAUAUAAGGAUUUAUGGGAAAGAAUUUCUCCGAAGGGGUGAGGAGAGGAGUUUCGGGAAAUUCACACAAUCCGAUUUUUUCCCCUCAUAACUUCCAGAAAGUUCCUGAAAUGGGAGGAGGAGAAGAAAGCUAAUGGGUUGUGUGUGCGUGCUUGUUUUUGUCUGUGUCUCUGUGUGUGCCUGUUCUAUUUUUAGGCAUUUAUGUGUUGUGGGAUAUAGAUAUAACGAAAUUAUUUAUACCCGCAAAGUCUCAUUUUAAACUUGAAGAGCUGUUCCCCCAUAACUUUUAGCAAAACGGCGUAUUUUCAAUGAAAUUUUAUAGAAAUACCGGAUCUUUUCGGUUUGAUCGACAGUUUUUAAAAAUAAUUUCCAUGUAACUUAACACUUUUAAACUUCGUAUACAGGUAGAAUGUGUUUAUAAAACAUCUUUUUCUCUUUUGUAAGAUAUUUGUUGUUUUUUUCUUCAAUUUCUGCAAUUUCAACCAAUCAAUGACGUCUGUUGAGAUGAAAACAUUCUGUGCCGUAUGAAUAUGUCCCUCGUUUAAGAAACAGAUUUGGUUUAUUUACAUUUCUGAAGAAAAAAAAGAAACCCUUCCCCCACCCCUAACCCUAACCCUAAAACAGAUUGAAAUGCAAUAGAUCGAUAGGGUCAUAAUUAUGGGUGACAAUUUCAUAUGACACCGCUAGAAAAAACUGCCGAUCAAACCGAAAAGAUCCGAAAUACCUUUCAAACGGCAUACAUUACAAUUAUAAAGAAAUUUGUGGGGAAAAUCUUUUCCAAGUGAAGUGGAAAGAGGACUUCGGAAAAUUCAGAAAAUCCGAGUUUUUCCCUCAUAACUUUUAGGAAAAUGGGUUUUUUUCAAUGAAAUUUUAUAUAAAUACCUUUGAAACGAUAUACAUUAUGACUAUAAAGUAAUUUGUGGGGAAAAUCUUGAGGUGGGGAGAGGACUUUCGGAAAAUUCCCAAGGUCCUUAUUUCCUUGUUAUAUUCCGAAAUCACAUUCAACUUUCUACAGAUACCCUAGGAUAGUACUACUACACUCCGUAGUGUUUAUUUCUACCCACUUUCAAUAAUUUUUAAUGUUUUGGCUUCAGUUUUAUUUCAUUUUCAAUUAUUUUUUAAUCCUUCGUCGUUAUUCUCAUUCACUCGUUAUUACUUUCUCUCUCCCUAUAUAUAUAUAUAUAUAGAGAGAGAGAGAGAGAGAGAGAGAGAUACAUAUAUGCAUACACGUAUACAUAUAUAUACAUACACAUAUACACACAGACCACACACACACACACACACACACACACACACACAUAUAUAUAUAUAUAUAUAUAUAUAUAUAUAUAUAUAUAUAUAUACAAAAUAAGAAAAUGGAGAAAUACACCUUAAUCAAUAAUAAACUACCAGAUAAUACUCAAUCUCAUAAUUUAUUAAACCACUACAUAUGAACAUCAAGGUCAAACAUAAUAGUAUAGAACAAAACAAUGUGCAUCAAUGAUUAAUAUGAUACAUUAAGUACAGUAUGUAUAAGUGAAUAUAAAUAAAUACAAAUAUAAAUAUAAACUACAUCUUACAGCUGUUUCAGCCAUGUAGAUAUGGGUAUCUCAUUAUGCUCAUAUUAGCCAUGUGUGAUAAGUUAAUAAAUGAGACACUUACAAAAAUAUCCCAAGGCCUCUUCAGAGAUUAUAAAGUACAAACUAAACUAAAUAUGAAUAUCAGAGGAGGUACACCCAUACAAGAGUGGGUACAUACCCAUAAUAUAUAAUAUACACAUACAUAUGAAUACCCAUACUCCUAUAUAUAUAUAUACAUAUACAUAAUAAUAUACAGCAAUAUACAUACAUUAAUAUUACCAUCAUUACUAUUACCAUUGCCACUAUUGCUACUAAUAAUAUUAUUAUCAUUAUUAUUAUUAUUCCUAGGGUCCAUUUCUUCAAGUAAAGAAAUGUGUGUCUGUCUGUCUGUGUGUUACCCUAAAACUUGAGAACUAAACAACCAAUUUCAUUCAAAUUUUACACAUGCCUUACUUAGGGUCUGGGGAGUGUCAUCGGCAAAACAAAUUUUUAACUUUUUGCCUAGGGCGAGCCCACAGCAAUAUCAUAUCUUCUCCACUACGAUUCCCUAAAACUAGAGAACUACACAACCAAUUUCAUUCAAAUUUUACACAUGCCUUACUUAGGGUCCAUGUAGUUUCAUGGGCAAAAAAAAUGUUCAACUUCUUGCCUAGAGCGAGCCCAUAGCAAUAUCAUAUCUUCUCCACUAUUUCAGUAUUACAUGUUAAAAGUGAAACAAAAAUAUUUCUCUGUUUUAUGUCAGCUGCUUUCACUUUAACAAUAAAAAUAAUAAUAACAAUUGAAUUAUAUGUAGUAAGUAAUAAUUAAAAUCAAACUAAAAUAUAAUAUAAUCGUAACAUACAAAAGUAAAAAUAGCAAUUAGUAUAAAAUUGCAUCAAUGAUUUGCACUUGAAUAAUUGGUUUCACAUGAAUGGGAAUAAAUUAAAAAUAUAAUUAGCGUGCAGAAAUGGAAUAGUCCAAAUGGAUAAUAAAAAAUUAAAUUAAAGAAAAGACUAUUGUCUAUAAAGUAUACAAUGUAGAGAAAAAAGAAGAGCUAACAAUUCCAGUCUGUUAUAUAUUUUGAGUAUUGUUAUCACUAGCGAUAUCAAGAUAUAACUUUGUAUUUUGCAUUUUAUGUGUAGAUGUAUAUAUAUAUAGAUGUACAUGUAAUAUGUACACAUAUAUACAUGCACUAGCACUAUGACCCGGCAACGACGGGUCUUUAAUGCUAGUAAUAUAUAUAUAUAUAUAUAUAUAUAUAGUUAUGAGGGAAAAACUUGGAUUUUGUGAAUUUUCCGAAGUCCUCACCCCACCCUCCCGUUGCUUUGCACGCAUUUUAUUUUUCAUAUUCAUUUCUUACACAUUGUUUUACACUCAUUCCAGUACUUUUUUGGGGGGAGGGGAUUUUCAUUUCCGGGUCAAGAUUUAAACAUUAACCAAUAUUUUUUCUUACUCAUAUACACAGCUUCACUUGAUUGAGAUGGUAGUAAAAAUUUAAAUUCCAAUUUUUUUUUUACCACGCAUAUGUUACUUCAGCAUCUUGGAAUGUGCUAGAAACAACAGCCAAAGCUUCCUUGAAUCGUACAACUUUUCCUCUGAAAAUAUUUACAUUUUUUUAUUUUUCCGAAAAAGUUCCUCCCAUGGUUUUUAAGUGCAAGAAAAUUGACCAAAAUCGGUCCGGAGUGAGGUGGGGAUUGUAAAAAAAUUUUAUAAACUUUUUUUUAUAAAAAGAUUACCUUCAUCAUUUCGAAUGCUGUGAUGAAAUUAAAAAUGGGGAAAAUCUCCGUAGUUCCAACUUAUUUGGUCUUCUUAAUCCUCUGCCCACCCCCUCGAGAAAUUUUUUUCCCAUAGAUCCUUAUAUACUCUGAAUCCACAGCAUCUAAGUGGUAUUUGUUGAAAAUUUCUGGAAGUUAUGAGGCAACAAAGUCUUAGACCGAGGGGGUACACAUAUGUAGUUAUGCCUUAGAGUUAAUAUUAUCAACUAAGCCCCUCCCUUCAAAUUUAUUGAUCAAUAAUUUUGAAGAGAGGGGCUUACUUGAUAACAUUAACUCUAAGGCAUAACUACAGAUGUGUACACCCCAAUGAGGGUCCCAGCUGAGUAGACUGGAGCAACGUGAAAUAAAGUGUCUAAUUAAAGGACACGCAUCACUAGGAAUUGAACUCACGACCGAAUGCCCUAACCACCAAGCCACGUGCCUUCACCAAUGCCCUAACAACCAAGCUACGUGUGUAUAUAUAUAUAUAUAUAUAUAUAUAUAUAUAUAUAUAUAUAUAUAUAUAUAUAUAUAUAUAUAUCAUAUCAUCAAUAUCUAUAAAUCUGAAAUGCGAAAAGUUUGUUUGUCUGGUUUUUGGCAUUGGAACGGGUUAAAGGGUACUAGAUCCCGUCGGAUUGACUCCAAAAUUUACAGGGACAUGUAAAAUAAGGUGAGGAUGUGAGUGGGCUAGGUUAGAAAUCCCUAUCUUAAAAAGUGUGGUUACUAGGGCAAAAAACGCACACUUUGACAAGUCUUCUCUCAUUCUCUUAUCUGCCUGUCUUCCUCCGUCUCUCUCUCUCUUCCCUCCCUUCCUUUCACUUUCUCUCUAGAACGUCGUUUGACAGCGUCGACUACCUUUCCCUCACCGCCUUCACUCUUUCGCCCACAUCCCCCUCUCUCUCUCUACGUCUGUCUUCAUUUAUAGAGAGAAUUAUUAUCGCCACCACCACCACACAAUCAUAAGAACAAAUAUUAUGAAUCGGAUAUUUAUUGGGUUAAUUUAUAUAUAUAUAUAUGUGUGUGUGUGUGUGUGUUCUAUACAUAUAAAUAUGUUUAUAUAAUGUAUAUAUACAAAGUGUAUAUACCUGUAUAUAUAUAUAUAUAUAUAUACAAAGUGUAUAUAUCUGUAUUUUAUAUAUAUAUAUAUGUAUAUAUAGUAUACAUUUGUAUAUAUAAUGCGUAUAUAUAUAUAUAUAUAUAUAUAUAUAUUUCUUUACUACCCACAAGGGGCUAAACACAGAGGGGACAAACAAGGACAGACAAAGGUAUUAAGUCGACUACAUCGACCCCAGUGCGUAACUGGUACUUAAUUUAUCGACCCCGAAAGGAUGAAAGGCAAAGUCGACCUCGGCGGAAUUUGAACUUUGAACGUAACAACAGACGAAAUACGGCUACGAAUUUCGCUCGGCGUGCUAACGUUUCUACCAGCUCGCCUAUAUAUAUAUAUAUAUAUAUAUAUAUAUAUAUAUAUAUAUAUAUAUAUAUAUAUAAUGUGUGCAUUAUGUGGUCGGUUGAGCUGAAAAUAUGCACACCUAUGUUAAAAGUGCUGGCGACUUUGCAUGGCAAGUAUUUUUUUCCUGAAAUUAAAGGCGUGACCUCUAGGACAAAAUUCCUCAUCUUAUAAAAUGUGGCCCGAGUAGACCCGAAUGAAAUCGGGUUAUAUUAACCAAAAUGUGAAAAGGGGUCUAAAUGGGGCUGGAAGGGGAUUAAAAUUUACAGGAGCGGGUGUUUAGGAAUUCUCUGUUACAUCAAGCUAAAAAAUUUGCGCCAGCCUUUUAAUCGUCAAUGUGUUGCCGUCCGUCAUGAAGAAGUUUUGAAUGCCUGCCAUGGUGAGUCUACUGUCGCGAGAGAGAAUCACUUCAAAACUUGGUGUUUAGGAAUUUUCUUUUACAUCAAGUUCAAAAUUUUACGCCAGCCAUUAAACUGCCACUACGUUGCUGUCCGUCGUUAAGAAAUGCCAGCCAUAGUGACUCUACUAUCCUCAGAUUCUAUCCCUUCAAACUUUGGUUUCCAAUUUUUUUUUUUUAUUCAGCUCGCAAGGUCGUCUGUCCCUUUUAAAUGUUAGUGUUUUGCUGUCUGCCUUGAAGCAGACUUUUCCGUUGUCACUGCCUGAUAUUUAUGACUGAUCUUUCAAAAUAUUUUCUUUCUCAACUUACUCAAGAUCUUUUGUUGUUUAUAAAUGGGAGAGAGAUACAUAGAGAAAGAUAGAGAGUAAGAGAAAGCAAGGAAGAGUCUGAGAGAAAGAAAGUGUAUGAGAGUGGGAAAGUGAGAGAGAAAGGAGAGAGAAACAAAGAGGGAGAAUGUGGUGAUAAACGAUAGAAAGGAAGCAACAGAAAGUAACAACCACUAUACAAGUAUACCUCAGCUUGAGUCAUUUCGAUUUAAGUCAUUCUCAAUUAUAUGGAAAAAUAAAAAUCAAGUUGUCAUUUUACUGUCUGCCACAAAUAUUGGAAUCGUAAAAUCACUAGAAAACCAUUAAAAGCACAUAAAAUCAUGUUACGGUACAAUAAAUAAGAAUAAAAGCAUAUAAAGUCAUAUCAAAAUACAUACAGUAAAUGUUUAGAUACACCGUAAAGUAGUGUAGCUUAGUGAACGAAAUCAUGAAAUUAGAUGUGUUUGUCUUAUUUAUCAUUCUUUCAGAGCUCAUAUUGCAUUGUAGUUCCAAUAUCUACUGUUAGGCGUCAUUGUCACUCAUGAUUCCUGCUACUGUUUUGAACUCAGAUUUGUUUGCAUCUGCUUAUCAGCUACUUUCUCAUUCAUUUGUGACUUUAUUUUUUGCCACUAUGACUCCUAAGAAAAUUCAUAGUGAAAAUGCAAAGUGUCGCUGGAAGAUAAACUGGCUGUGAUAAAAUGCCGCGAGAAAGGUGAAAAAGUGGUAGGUUUUUGGGGUGAGCCAGAAGACUGUAUCGACAAUUAUACACAAUAAGGACAAGAUUUUAGCACAUAUCAAAUCUGAUGCCCCAGGAAUGAAGAACACUGUCAUCAACAAGAAAAGAGGCAAAAUCUUUGAAGAAAUGAAAAGUCUUCUUUUCUCUUUGGAUUGUUAGGUUGAAUUGUCAGCAUACUACUAUUAGUCAAGAAAUCAUUCAAGAGAAAGCAUUGUCUUUGUUUGUGGACUGAAGAAAAAAUAUCAGAUGAGAAAGAUGUAGAGUUCAAGGCAAGUCAAGGAUAGUUCAUGAGAUUUAAGGAGCAAAGAAGUUAUCACUCCAUUAAGAAGCAAGAUGAAAGUGCAUCAGCUGAUGAACAAGCAGCAGUGGAAUUUCUAAUGCAUUAAAGAAAGUCAUUGAAGAAAACCGGUUUCUUCCCAAACAGAUUUUUAAUGUAGACAAAACUGGAUUGUAUUGGAAAAAAUUGCCAGACUGUUCAUUCAUUUCCAAGGAGGAGAAAACUAUUCCAGGCUACAAGGUCUCAAAAGAAUAUGUGACCAUUAUGUUGGGAGGUAAUUGUGCAGGAGAUUUUAAGUUAAAGCCAUUGCUUGUGUAUCAUGCACACAGCCUUUGUGCCCUGAAAAAACAUACCCAAGGUAUAACUCCCUGUUAUAUGGAUGGCUAAUUCAAAAGCAUUGUUUACUGUUCUUGUUUUUGAAGAUUGGUUCUUCAAUUAUUUUAUCCCAGUAGCAGAGAAGUACUGUAAGGAGAAGAGGAUUCCUUGGUUUUACUUAUCUUAGAUAAUACUCCUGGACACCUGUAAAACAUUGUAGAUUUUGACCCUAAUGCUACUGUUGUAUACCUCAUUCAAACACCACAUCUCUUCUGCAGCCAAUGGAUCAAGGAAUAAUUGCUAUCUUCAAGCAUUUGCUAUAUGAAGCAUACUCUGUGGCAAGCAAUAGCUGUAACUGAUCUUGAUGAGUCCAUCACACUUCAUGACUUUUAGAAGAGAUACGAUAUCUACAAGGCUGUACAGAAAUAGCAGUGGCAAGGAAUGACGUACAGAGUAUGGCCAGGAAUAGUAUAUGGAAGAAGCUAUGCCCACAAUUCAUGAAUGAUUUUAAGGAGUUUGGUAAUGUUGCCAUCAACAAAACAUUGGUGAUUAUGAGCAAAGAACUGGAAAUGGAUUUGGAGGAGGAAGAUUUCACAGAUUUAUUUGGAAAAGACAAGCAAACCCUGAUGAACGAGGAUUUGAUAGAGCUUCACAAGCAACAAAAUUAAAAAGUGGAAGUCAAACCUGAGCCACAUCACUUAACCAUUAAGAAAAUACAGCAAGCAUUUGCAUAUAUUGAAAAAGGUCUUUCUAUGUUCAAGGGUAUGGAUCCAAAUGCUCAACGCUUUUCUGAAAAUUAUGGGGGCUUGUCACAAAGCUUUUGCUCCUUUUAAUGUAAUCCUUGAGGAAAAGAAGAAGAUAGUUCAAGGAACUCUCAACCGUUUUUUUAAGUGCACUGAACAAGAACAGCCAAGAGUCAGCUGUUGAUGUUGACGAUCCACAGCCAUCUACUUCCGCAAUGUAAACCACCAAAUUAUAUGUACAUAUUGGUAAGUUUAAGAUAAUUUAGUUUGUUUUACUAUUGCAAAAUAAUAUAUUGCUGAAUUUGUUUUUUUUAAGCUUAAAAAAGCUUUUAUUUUAUAACGUCUUAUUGCAAACUGCAUUCAUAAAUCAGGCAUCUGCAAUGUACAGUAAACACUGCCAAAUUAUAUUUGUAAGUUUAUAUUACCUUUUUUUUUUUUUACUGUACUGUAUUUUAAUAAAUAAAAUUUACUUUUUUGUUACCUUAAAAUAGGUUUUUAUUAACCAUGUAAUACUGAAAAUACUUUCAUAAAUGAAGUACAGAACUGGGAAUGGUUAUUAUCAGUUUAACCUAGAGACAAGUAAAUUCGGCCUAGCCUAAAGACAAGUUAAUUCGACUGAAGUCAUAUUUCUUGGAACUAAUUAACGACGUAGGGUGAGGUAUGCUUGUAUGUGUGUGUGUAUAUAUAUAUAUAUGAUUUUCACAUAUUUUCAUCUACCAAUCCACUCUCAGGGAACUGGUUAGCCUAGAGCUAUAGUAGAAGACACUUGUCCAAGGUGCCACACAGUGGGACUAAUCCAGAAAUCACAUUUUUGCAAAAAGUGCUUCUUAACCACACAGCCAUACCUGUGCUUAUUGUAAUAGCAGUUUUAAAAUUGCAUAAAGUGAGAGGUAUCAUGAUUAAAUGGAAAAAGAUAAAAACCAAUGACUCACAGAACGCAAUGGUAGUUGCUUCAGAAAAAAUGCUUUCAAGCAAAAGAAAAUAGUUUAAUACUUACUUUCUUACACACACUCAUUAAAAGAUUUGUUAUAAAAAGUUUCAUUGAUAUAAAAAGCACUGUCAAUUUUAUGAAUAAUUUGUAGUAUUUUACUGUUAAAUAAAAAGUGCUAAGUCUUUAGGUAAGGAAUUUAUCAAUAGUUUCUAUCAUUGUUUUGAAUGGCUGCACCAUUUUCUGUCAUUAAUAAAAUUGUCAGCAUUUUUAAUGAUACAGAUAUGCUGGCAUGAAUGCAUGCAUGCAUGUCUUUAACCAUUAUUGCUUGGAUGAGGGCAAAGUGUCAUGGAAUGAACUCUAUGAAUACAAAGAGAAACACUUACCACUAGCUGAGAAAAUAACUCUAACUUAUUCCAAACCAUUCUCUUUCUGACUGCUAUGUUUUCAGAACCACCACUCCCACCGCACAUUUCAAAGAAUCUAUUGUACCUGUGCAUCUACUACCUAUGCUGUUCAUCUAUUUGUGUUCUCACUAUACCACUUGUGCAGUUCCAGUUUACAUUUAAUACAACACAAAAUUUCUUCUCUUUUCUUCUUAUCAAAUCUUGACAAUUUUCCUGAUAGUUUUAGGCUCAGGCCUUUAUGAUUUAAUAAAAUUUUAACCAUUGCUGAGUUUUCUUUAAGGCCUUUCAAUUCUAGACUUUACUUUCUUGUCUGGAAUUUUAUUCUCCAAAUCUUUGACCAACUCUGUAAUUCUGUUAUUUUCUCUCAUCCUUAAUCAUACCACUCAUGCUGUUUGCUCCUUAAGCUCCUUACCAAGAGACAUCAUGUAGCUGUCUAUCAUUGUUUCUCUUCCUUUACUUUGUCCUUUAUCAUCUUCCUGCUCUUUCUCUCUUGCUUUCCUAUUUCUCUCACUCUCCCACUACUACCAUUUCUCCUUUAUUGUCUCCUCUAUCACCCUCCCACCCCAAACACUUUCCUACCUGUAUCACUUUCCUACUUCUGUUGCUCUCUUCCUGUGCUUCUUCCUCUAUCACACUCCCACUGCUGAUAUUUUCUCUCCCCUCCUUUAUUUCUUCCUCCAUCACCUUCUUGCUCUGAUUGUCUUACAUAACUUUUCUGUCUGCUUGGGACAAAACAGUUGAUCUUUCUGUUGCUGCCAAAAGAUAAGAUAAGUUUCCAGUGUUGGUGAAUGAAUGAAGAAAAUGUAGAGUGGAAAGAAUACUUUAGCCUCGUCAAGAAUGAAACAACUUCUCUAGUGCCGGUGUCAUGACAAAAUGUGCUAAAUACUGUUUGUAAAGUGGUUGGCUUCACCACUACACAUAUCUUUUUGUUUACCCAAAAAAUGUGUAUUUCCAACAUGUAAUGAUGAUAACUUUCAGAAAUAAUGAUGAUGAUCUAAUGAAUAAUAACUUAAAUUUUAUUUUAUUUCCUCUGAAUUGAAAUUUUUGUUUUAUUUACAGAAAUAUCCAUCAACAAGAUAUCUACCCAAAAAGUACAAUGAACCUAAUAUGGUUUAGCCUAAUUGUAUUCAGCAUUUCAGCUGGAGUGAAAUAUACCAAAGCCGAUAAUGUCCUGCUACUUUCAUGGCCAUACUUUAGUCACUUACAGAGCUUGGCUUAUGUUGGGAGUGAGCUAAGCAAAUAUGGUCACACCAGUUAUUUUCCGAUGCCAGAUAAAAUGGCAAAAAUGUUUCAGUCAUUCAAAGGUGUUGAACUUUUGAAGAUGAAAGAUGAUCACAAUGUUAACAAAUUUUUUGAAACAACCCUCAACUAUUUUUUGAGUGGGAACUCUACAAUGAAGGAUAUAUUUGAAAUUAUGGAUGAAGUCUGUGAUAAUCUUCUUUUAGAUGAAGAUUGGUUCCAAUAUUUGAAGAAGGUAAAUGCUUCCAUAGCUGUGAUAGACUUUGUCUUUAUGAGUAAUUGUUUGGCAAUAAUUCCUUAUAGAUUAUCCAUACCAUUUGUGUUUCUAGGUAUCAAUCCUGGAC